GCUGCGCGGCGGCCGGGAGCGUGCGGAGCCGCGGCCCCAGCCCAGCCCGCCCCGGACACCAGACGCUUCAUCAAGAAUAGGGCUCGAGACAGGUAAAUGGAUUCUUGCCUGAUUUUCAAUGUUCCUGGAAGGAAAUGUAGCCAAAAUGCUGGUUUACUUCUUUGUCUUGAAACCACCAUUUUCUCCCAAACCUGAUGAUCUUAGGUAGGGGGUUAGAGAGGCUGGGGCCAGCAUCUCUCCAGGGUGAUCAGCACAGCCCUUCCCCCUGACAGAUGCUGCCCGGGCUCCUUUUGGGGAGCCAUUUUCUGUCCCUCAUUGUCUCACCGCCUUUUGUGUCUGCAAUUAUAUCCUGCCUGGGAGAGCCCAGAAAUAAUUAGAUUUCCAGCUGCUUCUGGACUUGCAGGGAGCCUUUCUCCCCCCCCUUGCCCUUCCCCCUCCCCAAGGCUGCCCACGCUGCCCAGCCGAGAGCUGCAGACAAAGAGAGGCAGCACCCAGCACUGCUGUGGCUGCACCAGAGCCGGGGCUGCGCUGAGCCUGGGCUCUGCUGGGAGACAGCAGUGCUGGCAGGGCCAAGGGCAGGGGUGUGUGGCAGCCCCCUACCAGGAGCUGGGGGGUUGGGGUGCCCAGAUGCCACAUCUCAGAGGUGUCCCUAGGGGCAUGGGCAGCAGAGCAGCAGCAUGGCAGAGGCACAGGGCAGCUCGUGGGCUGCCCUCACGUCCCUCUCUGACUGGCUUGGGCUCCCAUCCGGCCCCCUCCUUGCUUGUGGGGGCUUUUAGCCCCCGUUUAACCCAAGUGCUGCUUCGAGGUGCUCAGGCACUGUACGUGCUACCAGCCUGGUGUGGCAAGAGGCAGCUGGAGCUUGGGGUUGGCAAUCACCCCUCGCCAUGCACGAGAGGAGUUUGGUUCAGUGCUGCCCACAUAACAUUUUUUUUCUCCCCCCUGUCUCCUGAGGUGUGCUUUACUGCUGGGUGAGAGAGGCCACCCCACAGGGGUCACCCCCUGCAGACCCCUCCUGCCUGCCCCACCACAGGCACCUCCCGACCCGAUUCAGGCAGGGAAUCCAUCUGCCAGGUGCUCGAUGGCAUCUUUGGAGCCUGCCGCUGCCCCCCCCCCCAACUACGCCUGCCCCCGAUCCUGAGCCUGGCCCCGCUGGCUGGCCCCACAGCAUCUGGUUUGCAGAUACCGCCUGGACGUGCUGCCCCCGCGGGAGGGACCGUCCUGCUGGCAGCGCCUGCAACGUGCGGCCACAAUGAACCGCAGCCGAACUGCAGAGUCAUCACAGCCCCGGGACCCGCGGCCGGCUUGGCUUUUCUGCAGGAGCAGGGCAGGAGGAGGGCAGGCAGCACGGGCAGAGCUGGAGCAGCACCCACAGCAGCGCAGCUGGGACCACACGCUGUGCCCAGCGGCAUGAGCAGGACCCCAGAGACCCAGCUUAACUGCAGGGCAGGAGCAGAGGCAGAAGCAGCAGUGACAGUGACAAAGGCAGAAGCAGUGAUAGGCAGUCCCUGUCCCCAGUGCAGGCAGUUCCAGUAGCAGACAGUUUGGGCCAUUGCCACCAUUUCUGCUGUGGUGCUCCCCAUGCCUGCUGGCAGGUCUGGGUCAUCCCUGCUGGCAGGUCUGGGUCAUCCCUGCUGGGCACGGUUACAGGCACAGGAGGGGGUGGUGACAUUUCCUCAUGCACUGGGUGCCCUGGAGCAGUGGUGGGCAGCCAAGCACAGCCACACAGGGAACAAGUGCAGGUUACCCUGGGGGGGCCAGGAGCAGUGCCAGCAGCAGGGGGGUCAGAGCAGACGAUGCUGCCUUGGGGCUUUAAUCCUGCAGGUAUGGGGAGGCACAGGAAUGACAGCAGAGCUGAGGGAGGCUCUGGCUGUGUUCCUGCCUCCGUCCCUGCCAGGAUCCCAGCAGCAGGAUGCAUCCCCGCUGGCUCAGCCCUGCCCCAGGACGAUGUGCCGUGUUGCUCUCCCUUGCUGCGUUCGUUGCUUUCUUUUGCAGCUGCUAAUGACUGACCUGAGGUCUGUUCACACACAGUCCCCUGUGCGGCCUCCGUGGCAGAGCAGCCAGACAGGACGGGGGGACAUUGCAGAGCAUUUCUGUAGCUGGUGACCACAGGUAGGACCCGUGGGGGGAGGGUGGAAGUUACGGACGGUGCCAGCCCCAUCUCUCCCCUCUCCUUGCUACCCAGGAGGGCUCUGGGUAGCCUGGAGCCAGCCUUCCUCCCUAGAGUCCCAUCCCCUCAAGGGUUCUCCCCAGGGUCCAGCUGGAUGCAGGAGGUCACUGUCCCCAGGGCCACCUGCAUGAGAGGAUGUGUCUCCUGUGUGCCCAGUGGUGGGGAGGGAGUGGCCACUGCACUGCCCAGGGUCUCACAGCAUCUCUGCUCCCCAGUGCCACCAGCCCCAGGGGCACAGCCCCAGCCCCUGUCCGACCAGACAGGCUGUGCCCAGAGGAGAGCCAGGGCUCAGGGAGCAGCCACCACCACCCACACACGGAUGCCAAAGCCAGGCUGGCCCCAGCAGAGCAACCUGGUGCUGGCUGCCAUGGGCCAGAGCCACCAGCCUGGCCACUGCGGGGGACAUGGCCGAAGAGACAGCACUGGUGACACCUGAGGACACGGGUCUGCGUGUGCACACGGUUUCCUACAAGGUUCUGGGGUCCCCUUCCCUCCUGCUGCUGCAUCCCGGCCAGACCCAGUGUGGGAAUCUCCCCACAUACCCUCUCCAGCAGUGGGCAGGGCGUGGGCAGGAUGAAACACAUCUCCUCCACUGAAAGCAAUGUAGGAGGGAGAAGGGGAAGGGGAUGGGAACGGAGCUCUGAUGGCUCCCCAGGGAGACAUGAUGGCCUACAAGGGACCCUGGUUGUCCUCACUGAUCUUGCUUGUCCUGUCAGCAAAGUCCUGGUGAGUUCUGCUCUGGAAGGGCUCUGCACUGCUGGUGCCAGGUCCCAGCAGGACACUGCCUGCACUCCCUUUUGUGGGGAGGGCCAGGGGCAGUGCAUCACUCUGAGGUGCCUGUGGCAUGGCCUCUGUGGGGUCACGUGGGGCUAACAGUGGCCCCAUAAACAGGUGUGACCAUCUCCCUGCUGCCCUGUGCCAGCAAGUGUUCCCCAAGCAGGCGGGAGAGCCAGGAGUGCUGGGGUUGGGGACUGAGAGCAGACACAGCUCGUGGCAGGCAUUACAGUCCUUUAGAGUACAAAAUGGAGAAGCAUCCUCUUGGGGACCAGAAGGAGCUCAUGCUGAAGGAGGAGGUGACCCAGGGGGUGCCCUGGGUGCCCCUUCCCAGCCUGGUUUUUGGGGCAUGGUGCAGAGCUGCUGCUCCUGCUGCCCCUUGGCAAUCAGCACCGCACAGCCGCCUGCUCCUGCAGGCAGCCCCACGGGGAGGCAGCUUCUGCUGGGGAGGGAAUAAGCUAUCAGGCACCUUUCCUCUGCUCCAUGUGAUGGUUUUCUUUGGUGAACCUCCUUCUCCUUUCUCCUCUGGCUUGGUGGAGACCCAGUGCAGCCAUUGUUGCCUUGGCAGAGGCUCUGCUCUUGCAGAGCUGCCUGUACCCUUGCCCUGGGCAGCACUAGCCAUGCCUCACCCCUUCCCUCUCUCUGCUUCUUCCAGCUUCUUUAGUGCUGUAAUGCCAAGAUAGAGGCCAGCACUGCCGAGAUCGUGCAGCCCAUCUCUUGUCCCACCCACAUUGGGGGUAGGAAACACAUGUUGUGUGGGAGCACAGGCUGCUCGGGUGGUUUGUGCCUCGCCAACACGGACAGUAGGGCAGGUCCCUGUGAAGCAUUCAGUUCAAGAAGUGAGUUACACUGUGCAGGCUAAACCCUCCUCUAACACCUUCCCAAACUCGAUCUGGUGGCAAAGCCCAAAACCACCUCCUGCUCUCACUAGCGGGAGCCCCACUGCUCCCGCAAGACCCAGACGGACACUUCCCAGGAAAGUGCUCCUGGGCUGGUGGGGGUAACGACGGCUCUGCAUGCUGCCGCUCUGCUCCCGUAUUAACCUACUAACCCGCCGCCGCGAGGGCUGCCGGGGCUGCCACGGCCCCUGGCACACGGACUAACCCACUAACCAGCUCCAGCGCAUGCCCUACUAACCGCCCUGUCUCACCUCCCACUAACAGCCAGCGCUGUCCUUAAAGGGGAACAGAAAAGCUGGGUAAGUAGGAUUGGAAGUGCCGGGCGGUGCUGCAGGGGUGACGGGCAGGGCUGGCAGCCCGAGCCCCCCGCUGCAGGCAGGGGGCAGCCCGCUCCAGCCCCUGCCCCUUGCUGGCACCAGGAGGGGGUUUCCCCCCACACACCAUGCCCAGCUCUGCCUGUGGAGUCUGUUGCUGACUAGGAGCCUAAAACGGUUUUAUCAGCAGAAGCUUUUCAGUUCCUUUUUAAGCCAGUAGAUCUCUGUUACUAACACAUUCCUGAACUGAAUUAAACAAACUAACCCUUUU
Apus apus (common swift) is the source of this 4425-nucleotide long non-coding RNA. RefSeq lists it as uncharacterized. The transcript is spliced from 2 exons. NCBI's taxonomy places the organism in Eukaryota, Metazoa, Chordata, Aves, Apodiformes, Apodidae. The record is from RefSeq and is a predicted model, not a curated record.